UUCAAAAUAAUGACCUCUUACAAAUUCCACCAGAGCUCGGUAAUUGUGUAAACUUAAGAACAUUACUACUGGAUGGAAAUCCAUUCCGAGUUCCUCGAGCAGCCAUAUUAAUGAAAGGAACAGCUGCUAUACUUGAAUAUUUGAGAGACCGAAUUCCUACUUAACAUGGAGUUGCUUUAUAACCCUUGUCAUGUAUUAUUAACCCUGGUUAAUUCUAAGGAGGAUGUAACAUUUGUUUUAGUAUCAUCUUAAAAGGUGAUUAUUGUAAUUGAUCUUGUAGUUUCCCAGUAUCACCUACCUGUUGGUAUAAUUAGCCUGGGCCAUAUUCACUGCCAGUAAAUAUUUUUACAUUUUUAUUUAAGAUUUUUGUAAGGUGUUGUAUACAUUUGUAAUGGUGAUAACCACAAUGUGUUCAUACAUUUGUUCUAAAUGUUUUGCUUAUGAUUUAUCCUGCUAACUUUCAUUUUCUUAUAGCAAGCAGUUUUUUCAAAAAUGAAUUUUUAUUUAAUGUGGUUCAGUAUUAUAAUAACAAAGCAUUUUUGUAGAACUGGUUUUUUUUCUCAUUUAUUUUUGUAUUCCAUACAAUGUGACCAAUUGACUUGAAUAUGACUAGCCAGUUUCUAUGUUUUUGUUAGAUAUAAAAUUAAAUCGAAUUUUGUUGAAUACUGUUCUUUGGCAUUUAAAAAAUAAGACCUUCUUAUCUUGGGCCACAUGUCAAAAGAAAAAGGAAACAAAAAUAUAUUAAAAAUAAGACUUUUCAUUACCCAUGAUAGGACUUUUGUGAUAUGGCUAAUCUCAGUACACAUUUCAACUUAAAACCUUUUUAUUUACAGCACCAUAAUUUUAAAAUUUACUUGCAAUCUUGGUAAGACUAAACUUGCAGUGUUUUUCUAAAAGGGAAUUUGAUAGGUAAACUUGAUUUAAUAAAAAUUAAAUAUCAUUUUUGUUUACACCAAAAUUAUCAGAAGUAGGUUGAUUAGUCAUUAUAACACUUACCAUAUGAUUCUAUUAAGAAGUCAAUUCAGUAGCAUGUAUAUCAAUUUAUAUAGAUAGGUAGAUAGCUUUUGGAUGAUUGAGGCAUGCUUAUAUUAUGAAAAAAAUUGCUAAUAAAGAUAAAUACUACAUGUUCAGAAUAAAAGUUACAUUUUUCA
Molecule: long non-coding RNA, 1151 nt
Filed under: Homo sapiens (human)
Lineage: Eukaryota; Metazoa; Chordata; Mammalia; Primates; Hominidae
Description: HSALNT0008664
Source: RNAcentral